CGCCUCUUGAAUCCUAUAAGAGGUCCAGCCUGCCCAGUGACUUUGUUCAACGGCCGCGGUAUCCUAACCGUGCGAAGGUAGCGUAAUCACUUGUUCUUUAAAUGGGGACUCGUAUGAAUGGCAUCACGAAGGUUAUACUGUCUCCUUUUUCUAAUCAGUGAAACUGAUCUUCCCGUGAAAAAGCGGGAAUACUAAUAUAAGACGAGAAGACCCUAUGGAGCUUAAAAUAACCUAACAUUUGCUUAAACAAUAAAAAAUUUCAGAACCUUAACUUCUACAAGCAGUAUGAUUUUAAAUUUUUGGUUGGGGUGACCGCGGAGAACAACAUAACCUCCAUGUUGAAAGAACUUAUUCUUAGCUAAGAUUUACUAAUCAAAGCAUCAACACAUUGACAUUCCUUGAUCCAAUAUAAUUGAUCAACGAACCAAGUUACCCUAGGGAUAACAGCGCAAUCUACUUCAAGAGCUCCUAUCGACAAGUAGGUUUACGACCUCGAUGUUGGAUCAGGGUAUCCCAGUGGUGUAGCCGCUACUAAAGGUUCGUUUGUUCAACGAUUAAAACCCUACGUGAUCUGAGU
Molecule: ribosomal RNA, 577 nt
Filed under: Rhinella macrorhina (Santa Rita beaked toad)
Lineage: Eukaryota; Metazoa; Chordata; Amphibia; Anura; Bufonidae
Description: partial 16S ribosomal RNA
Rfam family: Bacterial large subunit ribosomal RNA
Source: RNAcentral